UACGUAGGGGGCUAGCGUUGUCCGGAAUCAUUGGGCGUAAAGAGCGUGUAGGCGGCCCGGUAAGUCCGCUGUAAAAGUCAAAGGCUCAACCUUUGAAUGUCAGUGGAUACUGCCGGGCUAGAGUCCGGAAGAGGCGAGUGGAACUCCUGGUGUAGCGGUGGAAUGUGCAGAUAUCAGGAAGAACACCAACGGCGACGGCAGCUCGCUGGGACGGUACUGACGCUGCGACGCGAAAGCGUGGGGAGCGAACAGG
RNAcentral lists this ribosomal RNA (253 nucleotides) under uncultured bacterium. RNAcentral's name for it is "partial 16S ribosomal RNA". It matches the Rfam family "Bacterial small subunit ribosomal RNA", at positions 524 to 776 of the family's 1533-position model. The record is from RNAcentral.